AGUGAACGCUGGCGGUAGGCCUAACACAUGCAAGUCGAACGGCAGCACAGGAGAGCUUGCUCUCUGGGUGGCGAGUGGCGGACGGGUGAGGAAUACAUCGGAAUCUGCCCAGUCGUGGGGGAUAACGUAGGGAAACUUACGCUAAUGCCGCAUACGACCUUCGGGUGAAAGAGGGGGAUCGCAAGACCUCUCGCGAUUGGAUGAGCCGAUGUCGGAUUAGCUAGUUGGCGGGGUAAUGGCCCACCAAGGCGACGAUCCGUAGCUGGUCUGAGAGGAUGAUCAGCCACACUGGAACUGAGACACGGUCCAGACUCCUACGGGAGGCAGCAGUGGGGAAUAUUGGACAAUGGGCGCAAGCCUGAUCCAGCCAUACCGCGUGGGUGAAGAAGGCCUUCGGGUUGUAAAGCCCUUUUGUUGGGAAAGAAAUCUUUCAGGCUAAUACCCCGGGAGGAUGACGGUACCCAAAGAAUAAGCACCGGCUAACUUCGUG
RNAcentral lists this ribosomal RNA (490 nucleotides) under uncultured bacterium. Its description in RNAcentral is "partial 16S ribosomal RNA". It matches the Rfam family "Bacterial small subunit ribosomal RNA", at positions 29 to 507 of the family's 1533-position model. The record is from RNAcentral.